RNAcentral lists this ribosomal RNA (2773 nucleotides) under Escherichia coli. RNAcentral's name for it is "bacterial LSU rRNA". It matches the Rfam family "Bacterial large subunit ribosomal RNA". Lineage: Bacteria; Pseudomonadati; Pseudomonadota; Gammaproteobacteria; Enterobacterales; Enterobacteriaceae. The record is from RNAcentral.
AGCGUACACGGUGGAUGCCCUGGCAGUCAGAGGCGAUGAAGGACGUGCUAAUCUGCGAUAAGCGUCGGUGAGGUGAUAUGAACCGUUAUAACCGGCGAUUUCCGAAUGGGGAAACCCAGUGUGUUUCGACACACUAUCAUUAACUGAAUCCAUAGGUUAAUGAGGCGAACCGGGGGAACUGAAACAUCUAAGUACCCCGAGGAAAAGAAAUCAACCGAGAUUCCCCCAGUAGCGGCGAGCGAACGGGGAGGAGCCCAGAGCCUGAAUCAGUGUGUGUGUUAGUGGAAGCGUCUGGAAAGGCGCGCGAUACAGGGUGACAGCCCCGUACACAAAAAUGCACAUAUUGUGAGCUCGAUGAGUAGGGCGGGACACGUGGUAUCCUGUCUGAAUAUGGGGGGACCAUCCUCCAAGGCUAAAUACUCCUGACUGACCGAUAGUGAACCAGUACCGUGAGGGAAAGGCGAAAAGAACCCCGGCGAGGGGAGUGAAAAAGAACCUGAAACCGUGUACGUACAAGCAGUGGGAGCCUCUUAAUGGGGUGACUGCGUACCUUUUGUAUAAUGGGUCAGCGACUUAUAUUCUGUAGCAAGGUUAACCGAAUAGGGGAGCCGAAGGGAAACCGAGUCUUAACUGGGCGUUAAGUUGCAGGGUAUAGACCCGAAACCCGGUGAUCUAGCCAUGGGCAGGUUGAAGGUUGGGUAACACUAACUGGAGGACCGAACCGACUAAUGUUGAAAAAUUAGCGGAUGACUUGUGGCUGGGGGUGAAAGGCCAAUCAAACCGGGAGAUAGCUGGUUCUCCCCGAAAGCUAUUUAGGUAGCGCCUCGUGAAUUCAUCUCCGGGGGUAGAGCACUGUUUCGGCAAGGGGGUCAUCCCGACUUACCAACCCGAUGCAAACUGCGAAUACCGGAGAAUGUUAUCACGGGAGACACACGGCGGGUGCUAACGUCCGUCGUGAAGAGGGAAACAACCCAGACCGCCAGCUAAGGUCCCAAAGUCAUGGUUAAGUGGGAAACGAUGUGGGAAGGCCCAGACAGCCAGGAUGUUGGCUUAGAAGCAGCCAUCAUUUAAAGAAAGCGUAAUAGCUCACUGGUCGAGUCGGCCUGCGCGGAAGAUGUAACGGGGCUAAACCAUGCACCGAAGCUGCGGCAGCGACACUAUGUGUUGUUGGGUAGGGGAGCGUUCUGUAAGCCUGUGAAGGUGGCCUGUGAGGGUUGCUGGAGGUAUCAGAAGUGCGAAUGCUGACAUAAGUAACGAUAAAGCGGGUGAAAAGCCCGCUCGCCGGAAGACCAAGGGUUCCUGUCCAACGUUAAUCGGGGCAGGGUGAGUCGACUCCUAAGGCGAGGCCGAAAGGCGUAGUCGAUGGGAAACAGGUUAAUAUUCCUGUACUUGGUGUUACUGCGAAGGGGGGACGGAGAAGGCUAUGUUGGCCGGGCGACGGUUGUCCCGGUUUAAGCGUGUAGGCUGGUUUUCCAGGCAAAUCCGGAAAACCAAGGCUGAGGCGUGAUGACGAGGCACUACGGUGCUGAAGCGACAAAUGCCCUGCUUCCAGGAAAAGCCUCUAAGCAUCAGGUAACAUCAAAUCGUACCCCAAACCGACACAGGUGGUCAGGUAGAGAAUACCAAGGCGCUUGAGAGAACUCGGGUGAAGGAACUAGGCAAAAUGGUGCCGUAACUUCGGGAGAAGGCACGCUGAUAUGUAGGUGAAGCGACUUGCUCGUGGAGCUGAAAUCAGUCGAAGAUACCAGCUGGCUGCAACUGUUUAUUAAAAACACAGCACUGUGCAAACACGAAAGUGGACGUAUACGGUGUGACGCCUGCCCGGUGCCGGAAGGUUAAUUGAUGGGGUUAGCGGUAACGCGAAGCUCUUGAUCGAAGCCCCGGUAAACGGCGGCCGUAACUAUAACGGUCCUAAGGUAGCGAAAUUCCUUGUCGGGUAAGUUCCGACCUGCACGAAUGGCGUAAUGAUGGCCAGGCUGUCUCCACCCGAGACUCAGUGAAAUUGAACUCGCUGUGAAGAUGCAGUGUACCCGCGGCAAGACGGAAAGACCCCGUGAACCUUUACUAUAGCUUGACACUGAACAUUGAGCCUUGAUGUGUAGGAUAGGUGGGAGGCUUUGAAGUGUGGACGCCAGUCUGCAUGGAGCCGGCCUUGAAAUACCACCCUUUAAUGUUUGAUGUUCUAACGUGGGCCCCUUACCGGGGUUGCGGACAGUGUCUGGUGGGUAGUUUGACUGGGGCGGUCUCCUCCUAAAGAGUAACGGAGGAGCACGAAGGUUGGCUAAUCCUGGUCGGACAUCAGGAGGUUAGUGCAAUGGCAUAAGCCAGCUUGACUGCGAGCGUGACGGCGCGAGCAGGUGCGAAAGCAGGUCAUAGUGAUCCGGUGGUUCUGAAUGGAAGGGCCAUCGCUCAACGGAUAAAAGGUACUCCGGGGAUAACAGGCUGAUACCGCCCAAGAGUUCAUAUCGACGGCGGUGUUUGGCACCUCGAUGUCGGCUCAUCACAUCCUGGGGCUGAAGUAGGUCCCAAGGGUAUGGCUGUUCGCCAUUUAAAGUGGUACGCGAGCUGGGUUUAGAACGUCGUGAGACAGUUCGGUCCCUAUCUGCCGUGGGCGCUGGAGAACUGAGGGGGGCUGCUCCUAGUACGAGAGGACCGGAGUGGACGCAUCACUGGUGUUCGGGUUGUCAUGCCAAUGGCACUGCCCGGUAGCUAAAUGCGGAAGAGAUAAGUGCUGAAAGCAUCUAAGCACGAAACUUGCCCCGAGAUGAGUUCU